Molecule: long non-coding RNA, 6957 nt
Filed under: Equus caballus (horse)
Lineage: Eukaryota; Metazoa; Chordata; Mammalia; Perissodactyla; Equidae
Description: lncRNA (ENSECAG00000044790.1)
Source: RNAcentral
CACUUAAAUAAUAUGACCUCAAAAGGCAUAAAGCAAUGAUUUCUAGAAUUCUAAUGAUAAAUAAAUUGAUAAGCUGGACUUUCUCAAAACUAAGAACCUGUUUUUAGAAGAACACUGCUCAGAGAAUGAACAUACAAACCACAGACUGGGAGAAGAUAUUUGCAAAUCUCCUAUCAGAUAAAGGACUUGUAUCCAGAAUGUAUAAAGAACUCUCAAAACUAAAUAAUAAGAAAACAACUCAAGAGGAAAUGGGUGAAAGAUUUCACCACUUUGCCAAAGUAAACUAAAUGCAACACACAUCUCAGUGACUGUCUGGAUUUUCAGGGGAUGGGAACGGCAGGAGGCAGAGACCCCCAGGGGCAUGAGAAAACUUUUGGGGGUGAUAUAUACGCUCAUUGCUCAUUAUUUUGAUUGUGGUAAUGCUUUCAUGGCUAAUACUUAUGUCAAAAUUGUAUCAAAUUAUACAAUUUAUAUAUAUGUACUUUAUUGUAUGUCAAUUAUACCUCAAUAAAUCUAUAAAAAAUUAUAAACCUUCCUAUAAAGAAAACACUAGCCCAUUUACCUUUACUGGUGACUUUUCCAACAUUUAAUGAAAAAAAAUAACAUUCUUACACAAACUCUUUAAGGGAACAGAAAAAAAGGAAACACUUCCCAACUAACCCAUUUUACGGGACCAUUUUGUCCAUAAUAUCAAAACUUGACGAGGACAUUAUAAGAAAGAAAAAUUAUAACCCAAGCUUUCGUGAUUUAGAAGUGAAAAAGUAAACAAAAUAUUAGUGAGUCAACUUUAGCAGUAUAUAAAAAUGUGAAUACCUCACAACCAAGUUGAAUUUGUAUUAGGACAAAAACAAAGCAGGGCGUAUGUACAGAUGUUUCUUGAACAUCCCUGUUCUCAAUUUGUGGCCCUCUUCUCUAUCCUUCCUCACUGCUUAGUGGUCUUAUCCAAACUCACGGCUUUGAAUAUCAUCUAUGUGUUAAUGACUCCCAAAUUGAUACCUUCAAUCCUAACCUUUUCCUGAACCUAUAUAUCCAGCUGCCCCGCUCACCCUUUCCCCUGGGACGUUUAAUAGGCGAUGCCCACCUAGUACGUCUACAGUGAACUCUGGGUCCCUCCAACCUGUCCUUACCCCCUCAGGCUCUCGUAUCUCAUUGCCUUUCAGUGAUUUCCUACGCUCCACACUUGGAAUGACUGUGACCCGGUCCACUUGCCUUUACAUUGAAUUCAUCCAUCAUCCUCUCGUCUCCAUCUUCAAACAUGCCCAGAAUCCAACUACUUCUCACCAUCUUUCCUCACUGCCAGGUACCAUAUUUUUAUGAUUUAUGUUUAUCAUCUCUCUCCCCCACAAGCAUGCAAGGUCCCUGAAGGCAAGGCCUUGUCUCUCAUUACUACCAAAUUCCAGUGCUCAGGACAGUGGCUGCUACAGAGCAGGAACCCAAUCAAUAUUUUUACAAUGAAUGACCUACAGUAAUUUUCACACAUCACAAAAACUUAAAAGAUUGCUAUCAGUUUUGUAAGGAUGUCGGUCCACAGGUACACAUCCAUGUACUGUGAGUGUGAGUAUAAAAUGUUACAGCCCUUUUAGAGGUCAAUUUAACGGCGUCUAUUGAAACUUUAAAGAUGUGUAUCUUGAGCCCAGAAAUUUCACUUCUGGCAAGCCACUGGAGAAAACACUUGCCUUGUGCAAAAAGAGUGAAUAUGAAUAUGUUCUGCAGCAUCAGAAUAGUGGAAGAUUGGACUACCUGGAUGUGCUCGGGCAGGAGACCUGCUGAAAUGUCAGACAUUGUUCUUGUACUGACAAGAGCUCCAAGUCACAUUGUUAAGGUGGAAAUUUACGUUGCAUAAUAAUAUGUACAGUGUAUCCUAAUCAGCUAAAGUAUAUAUUUACAUAAUAUCUACAUAUGCUUGUGAGUGCAUAGAUAGCAAAAUUCCGAAAGGCUACAUACAAACUGAUGACAAUGAUUAUUUCUGGGGGAAGAUGAGAUGAGGGGAGAUGUCAAGGCAAACUUGAUUUAAUCUGUAUUGAUUUGGUUGUUUUGUUUGGUGAGGAAGAUUGUUGCUGAGCUACCACCUGUGCCAGUCUUCCUCUACUUUGUAUGUGGGAUGCCACCACUGCAUGGCUUGAUAAGCGGUGUGUAGGUCCCCGCCCGGGAUCUGAACCUGCGAACCCUGGGCUGCCGAAGCGGAAUGUGUGAACUUAACCACUAUGCCACCAGGCUGGCCCCUAGUUUGGGUUUACAAAUAGAACAUAUUUAUUCAUUCCAUAAAUUUAAAAGGACAGAAAAUCAAAUGAAGACACAGUUGGUAUUACUGGCAUUGCUACUCCGUAGCUGUCUGCAGAGGGUGCUACAUAUCGAGCUGCACAAAUAAUGAUCUGGUUACAUUCAACAGUGUCCCAGCAAACCACGCUUAACUUAGUUAAUAAAGUCCUAAUAGCUCAGUGGAAACGACCUUUGUGGGAGCAGAUUAUCCUUAUAUAUUGUCAGUGGCAGGUGGAGAAUAUAAUUAACAUGCUAUCUGUAACUAGGAGCUCUUGAGAGGUUAACAGGCAGUGCAUAUUUCAACAAGCAUCAUUUGAAUAGAUUAAUGCAAACUUGGGAAUGGUUCUCAGCUCCUUUUACUGAAUGUCUUGAGCCGCUAAAACCACCCUGGGAAAGAGCGAAUACCACUGAAAACAGGAUCGAUUUCCAAACCGUUGAAGGCGUUCAAAGUGUUUUAAAACUUCAGGAGCUGGGAGGUGACUCAAAAUGACUCCGUGCAAAGAUGUGACGAGAACGUGACCAUCCUCUGCUGACAAACAGUCAAGACUUUGGGAGGAAAAGCAGGAGGGUGAGCAGCCUGAGCCCCUCAGGUGGUGAAGAGCCCAGCUGAGGUUGUCACCCUUUUCAAACUGUCCCUUUAGCUUUCAAGUAUUACCAAGUGAUGGCUGAAUGAAAGCAUAUCCUUCUCUUACAAUACGAAACAUCAGAAUUUUCACUGGGGCGUUGCUUCUCACAACCGCUAUGAGGAGUUUCUGCCAUGCAGGACUUGAGUCGAGCUCUGAGAUGGGCACGAACUGGAAUGAAGUUAUUACCUUCCAGUAAAAUUGAACUUUUUACCCCCAUAGUUACAAAACUGUAAAAGUACAAAAAAUUGACGGUGAUUUUUUGGAAGACAUUUGCCAUACGAGUGGCACAAAUCCUAAGGUAAGUGGCCUUAGGAUUGUAUUUGGAGAGUGCUUCUGUCACUGUGGCAGUUGAGUCGGAAGGGCACUGUCAUUUCAAGGGUCUAGCGUGGUGUAAGAGCUCUCCCCUCUUCUCUCAUAUGCUCUAUGCACCGUCCUGAAGGGUGAGUGGAAUCUGUAUUUCACAGAGAAAUAAACUGACGUCCUGGGGGUUAGGUUGGCUGCUGAGGUCCCACAAGGGGCAGAAUCAGGAUUCAAACCUGGGUCUGCCUGAUUCCAAAGGCAGGCAGGCAGGGUCCCAGCACCCCAUGCUGUCCUCCCUGGGGUGACCUCUUAUCGUAUCCCCAGCGUCUGUAAGUGUCCUCGCAUCUUUCUGUUUUGUAGGUUUUCCUGUCCAGGCCGAGUUUGCUGGGGCAGGAAGCAGGAUUUACUCAUGUCUGAAUGCUCAGGGUCCUGAGGAAACUAGCCUAAAAUACCUUUUUAUUUUUAUCUCUACCAAUUUCUAAAAUAAAUUCCGAUUUCUUAUAGCAAGAAAGAAACCAUCAAAAGUUCUAAGGAAGACAGUAAUUAGAAGCAGGAGGACCCCAGGAGGGAGAGAGGCGUCCUUAUGGGUUUGAAUGUUUUGAGAAGCAAUUUCCACGUCAGUUGGCAAUUUAGGAUGAAUUAGGGAUAGGUACUGAGAAAAAUCAGCAAAUUAUUAACUUAGUGGUAACAGAAAGUUGCACUAGAAAUGGCAUCAUGGUACAGUAUAUACAUAGUUGUAAUAACGAAUAUUUAAUACUAAAUAGUGAUUUCACCAAGACUUGUGAUACAGCUCUGUUGGGAAGCUAAGUAUGUGGGGUGGGGAGGAGAUAGCAGAGGGAAAUCUUAGCCUUCCAGGGUAGCCAGGCAAUGGAAAAAUCCAGAAAUAGCAGUAUAAGCAUAUUGUUCAGAAAUAUAGAGGUAACAGGCAGAAGAAACACUGAAGGAGCUAGAAGUGGGGGCUUCUGGGCAAUGGUGAGCGGGGUGCUUCAGAGAAGAGGCAAGGGAGCCGCUGCUUUUCAUGGUGAGCUUUCCCAUUGUACAACUUUUGACUUUUUAAGGUGCAUGUAACUUUGAAAGAGAUAAAAUAAAUUAUAAAAGUAAAGUGAGUGGCAGCUGGGACCUGUUUCAGAGUGGAAACCACAUCCUGAGUUGAACCUUUAGACCAUGGGACAGUCUCUGAAGUACUCAAGCGUGAAUUCUUGCAUGACUGGCCACCUGAAGCAUCAAGUAAUUUUGGGUGACUAAACUGAAAUAAUAAAAGAUAAACUUUCAGGGUUUCAGUGCUAUAGUCGUCAGGACUCUAGCUGUAGAACAUAGUGUGGAAAAUAAAACAAUAAGAAUCAGACAUUACUUGAGCACGCGUUGCUACUCCAAAUUUUUCUGUUUUCUGUUGCUGUCAUCAGAGGGGAAAACGAAGCGUAUUUUCAUAAACAGAGCUCACCUGGACUGAGCAGUCAGUAUAUAUGUAUAUAUAUAUAUAUCCCGGACCCUACAGAAACCACUUCCGCCUUUAACCUUUAGAUCAACGAACAGUUUCUGAAAUGGCAAGCGUGGAUUUCUGCACAAUCUACCGUGUCCAGCCAGAAAUAGUUUAAGUGGACUAAUAUUAAAUACAACGUUUAUUUUUAGGGUUUUAGGAGUAAGUGACAUAGCAAAAUCACACACAACAGAAACCAAAAUGGAGUAGAGUAAACCAUCUUUUUUAAGCACCUGUUUUUCUUCCCAACUAUUAACCUCAUCCUGCCUCUCCAAGCUAGGAUGCCAUUCUGAGGGAUGUUUUAAUAUAAACUGCUAACUUUUGCUGAGCCCCAAGAUAGGCCUGGCAGAGCCUUCAACUUUUAGAUACUUCCAGAAGAGCUGAAGUUUCAGUUCUGGGGGGUGCAGGUCCACGCUGGAAGAGUUCAUAAGGCGUGAACAAACCAACUCAAAUAAUUGUCAAGGCAGUGUGAAGUUUAAAAAAAAAGAUUUACUUUAGGACUUGCCUGGAAGUUGAGUUAUUUAUGAUAGAGCAUGUGGAUAUCUUCGACACAUCAAGUCAAUAUGACAGCGUUUUAAUCAAAUCUUCUACUUGGUAAAAACGACUUGACAGUGAUGUACAAAUGGGGCGAGCCACAGGUGUGUACGGCCCUGGGUGGCAGAAAAAUGAACAACUCCUUUGCAGGGGGCAAUGCCAGUGGGCACGGCCCUAGGAACCAGGGCCUGGUUCCAUGAUGGUUGAUAAAGUAGACAUGGCCAGCUCUCUGCAGGGCUGGGCUGCUCCAGUAGUUGGGACCAGUAGAGGCCAACAUCUCCUGAGCACCUGCCAGGUGCUGUGUACCGUGCUAGGGGCUUUGUGCGCACAAUCUCUGUGCAUCCUUGUGCAUCACCAUCAAGUGUCCCACUGAUAGACGUGGGAGCUGUGGCCUAGAGAAGGCCAGGACCACAGGGAGCAGACAAGCGCUAAGGCAGUGCUGUGACCCACUUCUCCAAGCCUGUCCUGUGACAGCCAUGCUCCCUGCAUCUGUUGCCUCUGAAGGCCACAGGGAUUUCCUGUCUGAGCUGCGUGGGUGUUUCCUGAAAUAGUCUUCUGGGUCGGAAGGGUGAUUGAUGUAUGUUAUCUGUGCCGUCUUUGACAUUUAGUUGUUUGGCUCCACCUACAUUUGUACUGAUGCUUUGGUUUCAGGAAGAUCUAGCCCGAGCAACAAAUCCUCACUCACGCUGUAGUGGGGGACAGGGAGAAGAGAAGGGACUGACUUAACUGUCCAACCUGGGGUUUACUCAAGAUGAAGUUUUCCUUCCUUUCUUAAAACAAAGAAAAUAAAACAUUUUAAGACCAGCCUUAGUCUCCUAAGCGUAGAAUGGACAACAUCUCUGCGUGGCUUCUUAGAAACACAGAGGACCCCUGAUGCUGGUGCAAAGCUCCCGGCCCUGGUUUAGCAUCAUUUAUGUUGGUUUUAGGAACUAUGGCAGCCAUCAUCUGAAAGUUUUUAGGAGAGCACAAUGGAAAAGAAGAUGAUGUGUUGAAGUAAUUCCUAAUGAGCUGGCAUUGCUAAGAAGAGGGCAGCCCUAGCUGAGCCGCCCCAGAUGACACCAUGAGGAGGAGAAACUGUCCACUGCGCCCUACUCCAAUGCCCGACUCACAGACGCAUGACUGACAAGGUGACUGUUGUCCUAAGUGACUAAGUUUUGGUGUACAUUGUUACAUGGCUAUAGCUGACUGAGACAGACGUUUAUUAGAAAGAGCCUAAGCUGGAAAGAUUCAUAGAUUCACGGGCCAAGGUUGAAUCCAAGCCAGCUAACCUCAUGAGACAGAAAAGGUCCACAGAGAAGAAGGUGACACAGGGAGGAAGGUACAGAGGGAAACAGAGUCCCCACGAAGGGGAAGAUCAAGCUAGUUCUGUGCUGAGAGGUAAAUCCGACGGCCUGAUCCUUAGAGGAGAACUUUGCACAACGCCUGCAACGUGGCAGAAAGUCAAAAAGUACCUGUUGAAUAAACAAACGAAUUUGGGAGGCAGUCAGCCUUCCUGUUCUACUUAUCUCCAUUCCAUCAGCAAAACACAUUCCUCCCAACUGUGUCAGCGGGUUUCCUGUUCCUCUUGUGAGCCAUUUUGUGCUUCCUAAUAAGACUCAGUUUCUCUGCUGUGUUUGUUCACUGGGAUUCAAGUGGCUUUCCUCAGGCAAAAUGUCAAGGGUUCCAGAAUUCUUAUACAGGGCACGCUGGAGAGGAGAAAUCUGGCCAAAAGGAGAUGCUGGAGGUCUCUCUUGUUUUCAGAGUAUAACCUAUAUAGAAUAG